CCUUAUAAAGAGCGGGCGAGGGAAUGGGCCCUUUGACCCCGCGGCAACCUCACAGGAAGUGAAGGUGCCAAAUCCCACGGAGCGAAGGCCAGGCUCCGGCAGAUGAGG
This 108-nucleotide non-coding RNA is filed under the name bovine gut metagenome. RNAcentral's name for it is "SAM riboswitch (S box leader)". It matches the Rfam family "SAM riboswitch aptamer (S box leader)". From Rfam's summary of the family: The SAM riboswitch is found upstream of a number of genes which code for proteins involved in methionine or cysteine biosynthesis in Gram-positive bacteria. The SAM riboswitch acts at the level of transcription termination control. The record is from RNAcentral.